Molecule: small nuclear RNA, 105 nt
Organism: Hippopotamus amphibius kiboko
Lineage: Eukaryota; Metazoa; Chordata; Mammalia; Artiodactyla; Hippopotamidae
Source: RefSeq, a predicted model, not a curated record
GUGUGUGCCAUGCUCAGUUCAAAAUUGGAACAACACAAAGAAAAUUAGCCUAGCCCUUGUGCAAGGAUGACACAUAAAUUCCUGAAGCAUACUUUAAAAGUUUAU